This is a long non-coding RNA of Salmo salar (Atlantic salmon), 1951 nucleotides long. RefSeq lists it as uncharacterized. Lineage: Eukaryota; Metazoa; Chordata; Actinopteri; Salmoniformes; Salmonidae. The record is from RefSeq and is a predicted model, not a curated record.
UGCCAUACAGUGCUUUGCUGAGCAGGACAAGAAGGGGGUCAUUUGGUGUAAAGGUAUUUGGAGGGAGAGUAGCCAUAGAACAGUGUAAUCAUUGUCUUUACUGUAACGUUACAUGUAGCAGUUUCUCACCUUUAUGUCAUAAGUAAGCUGAUGUCAUAAGUAAGACUUAGUUAUUAAUAAAUACAUGACUCCACACCUACACACACAGACCAUUUCUGCUUCCUUUCUCGCUCACUUUUUGUAUUAUUGUUGGCUUCCUAUUGGUGGAAAUGGAGGGGGCAAUAUGUCAAUGUUUCCUUCCAUACGGUCCUUUCCCUUAAAUAAACCCAGAUGUUCAGUAUAAAAGGGGAUUGGAGCUCACAGCAGUCUGAGACCAAGGAUUUCCACUCACGGUAGGGACUUUGAUAUGCAUUACUUUGAACAUCUUUGUAAAAAAAAUAUAUGAAUAGCACUGUAAUUAGGGAGAACAGAUCUGACUGAUAAUGUGACGAUGCGUAUUGUGGUCCAAGAGCUCAUUUGUUUGGGGUACGAAACUUCAGCAACAAUUGGAUUUUCAUAACAGUAAAGUUUGGCUUUUGUUCAGAAUAUAAAUUAUGGAAGCACAAAAGUAUUGUAAAUUACACAUUAUUAAUGCCGUCGUAGGGAUAACAUUAUUAGCAUUUCUAAGAGUUGAUUUCAGUGCAACAGCUUUGGAGUUGGUCUGUGUUUUGACCCUGCUUUUGGGGUAAAUGGGUGGAGUUUGCAAUAUAUUUGUGUGGGGAGGGGGACGUGUGUAUCCUCUGUAAACAGUGACAAGAGACUGAUUGCUCCUUGAGGAACAUGAAAGCAGAUUAGAUAGGAAUGCCUGAACUGAACUCCCAUCUGUCAUGUGCUGGGGAUGUGGUCAAGGUCCCCACACAUGCCAGAGAUGAGUAGCUUCGCGAAGCCGCCUGAUCCCGCAAUAUUAAAUUAAACGCUGUGCGGACAUCCGCGUAGCGUUUAAUGUAAGCUUGCGGGAUCAGACGUCUUUGCGAGGCUAAGAGAUGAGGACACGUUGAGAGGAAAUGAACUGUCUUAGGACAAGAUUGCCUGUAUCUGUGUGUGUGUGUGUCAAUGAGCAUUGCGUGGCACAGCGUCAGACCUGACAGAUGCAGAUAACUCCAAGGAAAACAGAACACAGAGGGACAGGACAUGAGUCCUUUGGCAGUGAAAGGUUCCUUGAGUUAUUGCUGUGAAAACAUGUCACUAAUAUGAAAAACAGUGUAUUGUUUUGUCUGAAAAGAAUACAGCAGAUAAAUGAUUUGUAAUCUAGUUGUCGUUACUAAGUUUACAGCUGUCAUGUCCUGAUGAGAUUUGUGACAGUAUUGUUAUGUUGUGCUUUGGAGGCAUUUGCAUAUAAGAUAUCAACGCAACUGUUCUGGACCCUGUCUCUGAUUGGUCAGAGCCUGGAGGAGCACUGUAACCGGAUCCUUCGGGACGUGGAGGGCUCCCUUACGGCCCGGGAUCGCGUGGGCAUCCAGGAUUUCGUUUUUCUGAAUGCCUACACCAGUGAGAGUGCCUUCCUGGACAACUUGAGGAAACGCUUCCACAAUAACCUAAUUUACACCUACGCUGGUACGUCCUAGUGUCAGUCAAUCCCUACAAAGAUCUGGGAAUCUACACCAAGAAGCAGAUGGACAUUUACAUGGGAGUGUACUUUUUUGUGCUUCCACCCCAUAUCUACGCCCUGGCAGACAAUGUCUGUGGAGGUUCGAGUUGCCAAAUGUCAGCCUUGAAACCUUAAUGACUUGGAGAAGAUCUGCAAAGAGGAGUGGGACAAAAUCCCUCCUGAGAUGUGUGCAAACCUGGUGGCCAACUACAAGAAACGUCUGACCUCUGUGAUUGCCAACAAGGGUUUUGCCACCAAGUACUAAGUCAUGUUUUGCAGAGGGGUCAAAUACUUAUUUCCCUCAUUAAAAUGCAAAUCAUUUUA